Molecule: ribosomal RNA, 472 nt
Filed under: uncultured bacterium
Lineage: Bacteria
Description: bacterial SSU rRNA
Rfam family: Bacterial small subunit ribosomal RNA
Source: RNAcentral
AGAGUUUGAUCAUGGCUCAGGAUGAACGCUGGCGGCGUGCCUAACACAUGCAAGUCGAGCGAUCUUCUUCGGAAGAGAGCGGCGGGCGGGUGAGUAACGCGUGGGUAACCUGCCUCAUACACAUGGAUAACAUACCGAAAGGUAUGCUAAUACAAGAUGAUAUAAGGGAUUCGCAUGGAUUUCUUAUCAAAGCUCCGGCGGUAUGAGAUGGACCCGCGUCUGAUUAGCUAGUUGGUAAGGUAACGGCUUACCAAGGCGACGAUCAGUAGCCGACCUGAGAGGGUGAUCGGCCACAUUGGAACUGAGACACGGUCCAAACUCCUACGGGAGGCAGCAGUGGGGAAUAUUGCACAAUGGGCGAAAGCCUGAUGCAGCAACGCCGCGUGAGCGAUGAAGGCCUUCGGGUCGUAAAGCUCUGUCCUCAAGGAAGAUAAUGACGGUACUUGAGGAGGAAGCCCCGGCUAACUACGUG